AUCCCAUGAUGAGGACGGGUGGUGACGUAUUCCUACAGCCUUUCCCAAUCUUCAAGAAUGGUUUCAUCCCUCGUCUGCUGAAAGCUGGAUAUUCUUCCGCGAAGAGC
Oryza barthii is the source of this 107-nucleotide non-coding RNA. The record is from Rfam. Lineage: Eukaryota; Viridiplantae; Streptophyta; Magnoliopsida; Poales; Poaceae.